CCAGAGUCUGAAUCAGCUUGUGUGUUAGUGGAACGGUCUGGAAAGUCCGACGGUACAGGGUGAUAGUCCCGUACACCAAAAUGCACAGGCUGUGAACUCGAAGAGUAGGGCGGGACACGUGGUAUCCUGUCUGAAUAUGGGGGGACCAUCCUCCAAGGCUAAAUACUCCUGACUGACCGAUAGUGAACCAGUACCGUGAGGGAAAGGCGAAAAGAACCCCGGCGAGGGGAGUGAAAAAGAACCUGAAACCGUGUACGUACAAGCAGUGGGAGCACCUUCGGGUGUGACUGCGUACCUUUUGUAUAAUGGGUCAGCGACUUAUAUUCUGUAGCAAGGUUAACCGUAUAGGGGAGCCGCAGGGAAACCGAGUCUUAACUGGGCGUUAAGUUGCAGGGUAUAGACCCGAAACCCGGUGAUCUAGCCAUGGGCAGGUUGAAGGUUGGGUAACACUAACUGGAGGACCGAACCGACUAAUGUUGAAAAAUUAGCGGAUGACUUGUGGCUGGGGGUGAAAGGCCAAUCAAACCGGGAGAUAGCUGGUUCUCCCCGAAAGCU
This 555-nucleotide ribosomal RNA is filed under the name Klebsiella pneumoniae. Its description in RNAcentral is "partial 23S ribosomal RNA". It matches the Rfam family "Bacterial large subunit ribosomal RNA", at positions 296 to 867 of the family's 2925-position model. Lineage: Bacteria; Pseudomonadati; Pseudomonadota; Gammaproteobacteria; Enterobacterales; Enterobacteriaceae. The record is from RNAcentral.